This 253-nucleotide ribosomal RNA is filed under the name uncultured bacterium. RNAcentral describes it as "partial 16S ribosomal RNA". It matches the Rfam family "Bacterial small subunit ribosomal RNA", at positions 524 to 776 of the family's 1533-position model. The record is from RNAcentral.
UACGGAGGGGGCUAGCGUUGUUCGGAAUUACUGGGCGUAAAGCGCGCGUAGGCGGACCUGCAAGUCGGGUGUGAAAGCCCGAGGCUCAACCUCGGAACUGCCUUCGAUACUGCGGGUCUCGAGUCCGGGAGAGGUGAGUGGAAUUCCUAGUGUAGAGGUGAAAUUCGUAGAUAUUAGGAAGAACACCAGUGGCGAAGGCGGCUCACUGGCCCGGUACUGACGCUGAGGCGCGAAAGCGUGGGGAGCAAACAGG